This 484-nucleotide ribosomal RNA is filed under the name uncultured bacterium. RNAcentral describes it as "partial 16S ribosomal RNA". It matches the Rfam family "Bacterial small subunit ribosomal RNA", at positions 30 to 507 of the family's 1533-position model. The record is from RNAcentral.
AUUGAACGCUGGCGGCAGGCCUAACACAUGCAAGUCGAGCGGAGGAAGGGAGCUUGCUCCUGGAUUCAGCGUCGGACGGGGGAGUAAUGCCUAGGAAUCUGCCUGGUAGUGGGGGAUAACGUCCGGAAACGGGCGCUAAUACCGCAUACUACCUGAGGGAGAAAGAUGAGGAUCUUCGGACCUCACGCAAUCAAAUAAUACUAGAUCGGAUUAGCUAGUUGGUGGGGUAAAGGCCUACCAAGGCUACGAUCCGUAACUGGUCUGAGAGGAUGAUCAGUCACCCUGGACCGGAGCCCCGGUCCAGACUCCUACGGGAGGCAGCAGUGGGGAAUAUUGGACAAUGGGCGAAAGCCUGAUCCAGCCCUGCCGCGUGUGUGAAGAAGGUCUUCGGAUUGUAAAGCACUUUAAGUUGGGAGGAAGGGCAGUAAGUUAAUACCUUGAUGUUUUGACGUUACCAACAGAAUAAGCACCGGCUAACUUCGUG